RNAcentral lists this ribosomal RNA (274 nucleotides) under uncultured bacterium. Its description in RNAcentral is "partial 16S ribosomal RNA". It matches the Rfam family "Archaeal small subunit ribosomal RNA", at positions 473 to 747 of the family's 1478-position model. The record is from RNAcentral.
AAACCAGCACCUCAAGUGGUCAGGAUGAUUAUUGGGCCUAAAGCAUCCGUAGCCUGCUCUGUAAGUUUUCGGUUAAAUCUGUAUGCUCAACAUACAGGCUGCCGGGAAUACUGCAGAGCUAGGGAGUGGGAGAGGUAGACGGUACUCGGGAGGAAGUGGUAAAAUGCUUUGAUCUCUCGAUGACCACCUGUGGCGAAGGCGGUCUACCAGAACACGUUCGACGGUGAGGGAUGAAAGCUGGGGGAGCAAACCGGAUUAGAAACCCCAGUAGUCC